Mangifera indica (mango) is the source of this 808-nucleotide long non-coding RNA. RefSeq lists it as uncharacterized. The record is from RefSeq and is a predicted model, not a curated record. The transcript is spliced from 2 exons. Lineage: Eukaryota; Viridiplantae; Streptophyta; Magnoliopsida; Sapindales; Anacardiaceae.
UGCUUGCUUAAUAAUGUAUUGAAUCUCAAGUAUGAAAAGUGCUUAAAUCCAAUAGCUUACUAAUUAUGUGAAAAAGGAGUUGCUCCGAUAUAAACCUUCCCCAUUAUAAUAAUAAUCCACUACAUAGGAUGUCUUAAUAUUAAUCUAUCAGGACCAUUAGUAUUUACCAUUGGUUUUAAAUUAUGAAAUAUACUAUCAGUCAUUGAAAUAAAUCUAAUAGUGUAUACAAUUAAUUUUCCUUAACUUUGAAUGUUUUGUACUACCUUGUUUCAUCUACUUAUACACCUCAUCCAUGGCUGAUAUUACUUCUUAUCUCUAAGAACUUCAUUUUCUCACCAGGUGGAGACGCCUAAUACGUAUGCUCAGCCUCAGCAACUACUGAACUUCAGAUCUUUCUAAAGGAAAAAGCUGUGAAGUUUUGGCUGCCGACGACUUAUUCUAACUUCAUCCCAAUAGUUGAUCUUUUGCCGAUGACGGUUGGAAGACUUUUGCCAACGACGACAAUAGUUGACGACGAUAAGGACACUACUGAAUAUUAGUUUCGAUCAAAGGUCUAGACAACAACAAAUAUUAAUGUCUGUAUUUGUUGCUGCUGUCGACGAUAUCGCAGGCUGAGACAACAAAUUCCCGUGCUAUAGUAACCAACGAUUGUACUCCAACAGUACUAACGGUAGGCUAGUCAUUGUAAGGUUGUGUAAUUUUGAUUUAAAUUUUUUCUGUUUGAACGUAUAAAAUUCUUUCCGUUUGAAUGUAUAAACUGAUAGUUGGAAAAGUGCAUUCUGGAAAAAUAAAAGUAGACUGUUUAUAU